CUUUUGAAUACGUACACCUAUAGAAGUAAAAUGGUAUAGAACCCAACUGUCCUUUGUUCGACAGGGGGUACUAAAAAUCGAAACUACACGGGACUGCAAGAUAAUAUUUGUAACGUACGACCAACCAUUUGUUUUAACAAGUUCGUUAAAGCUUCACUACACAAUGAACCACGUCAGAUUAGACUUGUAAUAAGAAUAAAAGGAAACAAUGACUUUUAAUAAGGCAUGUGUCUGUGUGUGUGUGCGUUGACACUUCCAUAUACACAAAAAACAAAAACCUGUUCAGUAUGUGUACAAACUGACUAUUAGUACUACGGAACGAAGGAAAGAAACGACUUUAAAAUGUUGUUACGGAGAUGAUUGGAGUAAAGUUAACUACUCAUGUCUGGAAGACAAACAAAAACACACACAAUUUACCGUAUCCUUAAAGAGGGGACCUCGAAAGGUCAAAUCUCUUGACUUAAACUGUCAGGUUUAGUAUUCUGUUGUAAGUUGUAAUGAUUCGUUCCCUUGAAGUCUUUUAUAAAAGGACAGGGACCAUCUUUGUCUUGACUUCUAAUGUGGGAAGUCCAAUCUAUACCUGUGAGGUUUAGUCAUCUGUGGAAAAAAGAAGAAAAACCAUAACGAAGGUUUUAGUACUAAUGUAAGUAUAGUGUUUUGUCAGUUUUACGAUUCGAUUUAACAUGAUGUUGUUGUCGGUUAGAUGUUGAUGUCGGUUGUCGAUGUUGUCGACUCGCGUGUAGUGUACCUGGAUCGGUUCAUGCAAAUGUCACGUUCUGUUAGAGCCGCUGUAACUGUCUCGUUUUAAACAACAUAAAAAAGGUAGUUAACAAAACAAGACUACGACUUGUAUUUUAUUUACAUACGAACGACGAGUAAUAGUCCGAUACUCCGUCUGUUUCGUUGAUGUUUUCUUACAUAGGAUCGAUGGAAGUGGUUAUACAACGUCGUCGUUCAGUUCGGUGUCUCUGAUAUACUUACGAACGACAAUUAAAGUAACCUUACGUCCUUACCGACUGGCUCUCGUCACACGUGUAGAGACUCCGGUUUGCUCCGCAACCUCAGCUCCUAAACUGUGUUAAACCUAGCUUAAUGAUGAUAGAUAGGUUGGCCAGAAAGAGAGGAGCCCAGAACCAUCAAGCAGGGACUCUAACCAAAAGAUACGGAUUCUUUCACCUUACCUCCCUCAUUGCGGAACUCCAGAAUAAAUAAUAUUAAUAUCAGUUACAUCAAGGUAAAAGUAUAACAUCUCUACUACAAGCAACACAAUGGA
This 1273-nucleotide ribosomal RNA is filed under the name Triticum aestivum (bread wheat). RNAcentral's name for it is "partial small subunit ribosomal RNA". Lineage: Eukaryota; Viridiplantae; Streptophyta; Magnoliopsida; Poales; Poaceae. The record is from RNAcentral.